This 221-nucleotide long non-coding RNA is filed under the name Phoenix dactylifera (date palm). RNAcentral describes it as "long non-coding RNA (PDAC_LNC009470)". Lineage: Eukaryota; Viridiplantae; Streptophyta; Magnoliopsida; Arecales; Arecaceae. The record is from RNAcentral.
UUUUUAAGAGUAGCCAAAAAAGCAUAGCAUAUCACAGCAUCAUUAGCACCCUGGAUCAGCCAAAGAGCCCUAAAGCUUGCUAGAUGAUACAUCGAGUCAAUAGUGUUAUCGUAAUGUUCAAACUAUGGCAUCUUGAAUUUUUUCAAUAGGGGUUCCACCAAGAUCUCCAUGGUGAAAGGCGAAUUGCCUAUCACUUUCAAGUCAUCUUUUAUAUCAGCCCU